UGAGCGAGUGCGCCACGGCGGUGACGGCGUGGUACGCGGUGAGCCCGGCGUCGGUCAGCGGCGCCGCCCGGACCGCGUCCAGGUCGCCCACC
This 92-nucleotide transfer RNA is filed under the name Streptomyces fuscichromogenes. RNAcentral describes it as "tRNA-Thr". Lineage: Bacteria; Bacillati; Actinomycetota; Actinomycetes; Kitasatosporales; Streptomycetaceae. The record is from RNAcentral.